CACCUAGGAACAACUCUACGCACGAUCUGUGAAGAAGUUUGGCCGAGACCUCAACCCAAAGGUAGAGAUCCGAGAAUCGUCCGAGAACGGGACCUAAUUUAAAGAAAUAAGUAUUUUUUGACACCUCACGGGCAAAGAAACGCUAG
Long non-coding RNA from Cucurbita maxima (winter squash), 146 nucleotides. RefSeq lists it as uncharacterized. The record is from RefSeq and is a predicted model, not a curated record. NCBI's taxonomy places the organism in Eukaryota, Viridiplantae, Streptophyta, Magnoliopsida, Cucurbitales, Cucurbitaceae. The transcript is spliced from 2 exons.